RNAcentral lists this unclassified non-coding RNA (426 nucleotides) under Hevea brasiliensis (rubber tree). Lineage: Eukaryota; Viridiplantae; Streptophyta; Magnoliopsida; Malpighiales; Euphorbiaceae. The record is from RNAcentral.
GAGCGAGCCAUUCUUCUAUGGAAGAUUAAAAAGAUACUAAACUACAAGGUUUAAGCUGACAAUGGCUUUGAGUUUCUUUUCUUUUUUCUGUAUAAUUUAGUGAUUUCUUGUAAACUUGCAGCAAGUGUUAGUGACAUCACCAUUUGUUGGAAAUAUAAUCAUAUCACGGGGUGUGAAAUGGUAUCAUUAUUUUCCUUAUUGGAUAAAUUCCUUAAGAAGUGUUGGCAAAAUUAAAUGCUAUUUAUAGUUUUACUGAAUAUUCAUAAUCAUGAACGCGGAAAAAAAUAGAAAUGCGGAGAUUUGAAAAUCUCCUUUUUCUCCAAUCAUUAGCAUCUUCCUUUUAUACUUUCUAUACUUUCUGAUAUUUUGCUAGAUCAUCAUGGUGAUUAUAUAAUUUCCUUUCAGAAAGACGAACAGGGAUCUGUU